CCUACGGGUGGCAGCAGUGAGGAAUAUUGGGCAAUGGACGGAAGUCUGAACGAGCGACGCCGCGUGAAGGAAGAAGGAUUUCGGUAUGUAAACUUCUAUUAGCAGGGAAGAAAAUGACGGUACCUGACUAAGAAGCCCCGGCUAACUACGUGCCAGCAGCCGCGGUAAUACGUAGGGGGCAAGCGUUAUCCGGAUUUACUGGGUGUAAAGGGAGCGGAGGCGGCGAUGCAAGUCUGAAGUGAAAGCCCGGGGCUCAACUCCGGGACUGCUUUUGAAACUGUGUUGCUAGAUUGCAGGAGAGGUAAGUGGAAUUCCUGGUGUAGCGGUGAAAUGCGUAGAUAUUAGGAGGAACACCAGUGGCGAAGGCGGCUUACUGGACUGUAAAUGACGCUGAGGCUCGAAAGCGUGGGGAGCAAACAGGAUUAGAUACCCGAGUAGUC
RNAcentral lists this ribosomal RNA (440 nucleotides) under uncultured bacterium. Its description in RNAcentral is "partial 16S ribosomal RNA". It matches the Rfam family "Bacterial small subunit ribosomal RNA", at positions 338 to 795 of the family's 1533-position model. The record is from RNAcentral.